UUAAGCGACUAAGCGUACACGGUGGAUGCCCUGGCAGUCAGAGGCGAUGAAGGACGUGCUAAUCUGCGAUAAGCGUCGGUAAGGUGAUAUGAACCGUUAUAACCGGCGAUUUCCGAAUGGGGAAACCCAGUGUGUUUCGACACACUAUCAUUAACUGAAUCCAUAGGUUAAUGAGGCGAACCGGGGGAACUGAAACAUCUAAGUACCCCGAGGAAAAGAAAUCAACCGAGAUUCCCCCAGUAGCGGCGAGCGAACGGGGAGCAGCCCAGAGCCUGAAUCAGUGUGUGUGUUAGUGGAAGCGUCUGGAAAGGCGCGCGAUACAGGGUGACAGCCCCGUACACAAAAAUGCACAUGCUGUGAGCUCGAUGAGUAGGGCGGGACACGUGGUAUCCUGUCUGAAUAUGGGGGGACCAUCCUCCAAGGCUAAAUACUCCUGACUGACCGAUAGUGAACCAGUACCGUGAGGGAAAGGCGAAAAGAACCCCGGCGAGGGGAGUGAAAAAGAACCUGAAACCGUGUACGUACAAGCAGUGGGAGCACGCUUAGGCGUGUGACUGCGUACCUUUUGUAUAAUGGGUCAGCGACUUAUAUUCUGUAGCAAGGUUAACCGAAUAGGGGAGCCGAAGGGAAACCGAGUCUUAACUGGGCGUUAAGUUGCAGGGUAUAGACCCGAAACCCGGUGAUCUAGCCAUGGGCAGGUUGAAGGUUGGGUAACACUAACUGGAGGACCGAACCGACUAAUGUUGAAAAAUUAGCGGAUGACUUGUGGCUGGGGGUGAAAGGCCAAUCAAACCGGGAGAUAGCUGGUUCUCCCCGAAAGCUAUUUAGGUAGCGCCUCGUGAAUUCAUCUCCGGGGGUAGAGCACUGUUUCGGCAAGGGGGUCAUCCCGACUUACCAACCCGAUGCAAACUGCGAAUACCGGAGAAUGUUAUCACGGGAGACACACGGCGGGUGCUAACGUCCGUCGUGAAGAGGGAAACAACCCAGACCGCCAGCUAAGGUCCCAAAGUCAUGGUUAAGUGGGAAACGAUGUGGGAAGGCCCAGACAGCCAGGAUGUUGGCUUAGAAGCAGCCAUCAUUUAAAGAAAGCGUAAUAGCUCACUGGUCGAGUCGGCCUGCGCGGAAGAUGUAACGGGGCUAAACCAUGCACCGAAGCUGCGGCAGCGACGCUGAUGCGUUGUUGGGUAGGGGAGCGUUCUGUAAGCCUGUGAAGGUGUGCUGUGAGGCAUGCUGGAGGUAUCAGAAGUGCGAAUGCUGACAUAAGUAACGAUAAAGCGGGUGAAAAGCCCGCUCGCCGGAAGACCAAGGGUUCCUGUCCAACGUUAAUCGGGGCAGGGUGAGUCGACCCCUAAGGCGAGGCCGAAAGGCGUAGUCGAUGGGAAACAGGUUAAUAUUCCUGUACUUGGUGUUACUGCGAAGGGGGGACGGAGAAGGCUAUGUUGGCCGGGCGACGGUUGUCCCGGUUUAAGCGUGUAGGCUGGUUUUCCAGGCAAAUCCGGAAAAUCAAGGCUGAGGCGUGAUGACGAGGCACUACGGUGCUGAAGCAACAAAUGCCCUGCUUCCAGGAAAAGCCUCUAAGCAUCAGGUAACAUCAAAUCGUACCCCAAACCGACACAGGUGGUCAGGUAGAGAAUACCAAGGCGCUUGAGAGAACUCGGGUGAAGGAACUAGGCAAAAUGGUGCCGUAACUUCGGGAGAAGGCACGCUGAUAUGUAGGUGAAGUCCCUCGCGGAUGGAGCUGAAAUCAGUCGAAGAUACCAGCUGGCUGCAACUGUUUAUUAAAAACACAGCACUGUGCAAACACGAAAGUGGACGUAUACGGUGUGACGCCUGCCCGGUGCCGGAAGGUUAAUUGAUGGGGUUAGCGCAAGCGAAGCUCUUGAUCGAAGCCCCGGUAAACGGCGGCCGUAACUAUAACGGUCCUAAGGUAGCGAAAUUCCUUGUCGGGUAAGUUCCGACCUGCACGAAUGGCGUAAUGAUGGCCAGGCUGUCUCCACCCGAGACUCAGUGAAAUUGAACUCGCUGUGAAGAUGCAGUGUACCCGCGGCAAGACGGAAAGACCCCGUGAACCUUUACUAUAGCUUGACACUGAACAUUGAGCCUUGAUGUGUAGGAUAGGUGGGAGGCUUGGAAGUGUGGACGCCAGUCUGCAUGGAGCCGACCUUGAAAUACCACCCUUUAAUGUUUGAUGUUCUAACGUUGACCCGUAAUCCGGGUUGCGGACAGUGUCUGGUGGGUAGUUUGACUGGGGCGGUCUCCUCCUAAAGAGUAACGGAGGAGCACGAAGGUUGGCUAAUCCUGGUCGGACAUCAGGAGGUUAGUGCAAUGGCAUAAGCCAGCUUGACUGCGAGCGUGACGGCGCGAGCAGGUGCGAAAGCAGGUCAUAGUGAUCCGGUGGUUCUGAAUGGAAGGGCCAUCGCUCAACGGAUAAAAGGUACUCCGGGGAUAACAGGCUGAUACCGCCCAAGAGUUCAUAUCGACGGCGGUGUUUGGCACCUCGAUGUCGGCUCAUCACAUCCUGGGGCUGAAGUAGGUCCCAAGGGUAUGGCUGUUCGCCAUUUAAAGUGGUACGCGAGCUGGGUUUAGAACGUCGUGAGACAGUUCGGUCCCUAUCUGCCGUGGGCGCUGGAGAACUGAGGGGGGCUGCUCCUAGUACGAGAGGACCGGAGUGGACGCAUCACUGGUGUUCGGGUUGUCAUGCCAAUGGCACUGCCCGGUAGCUAAAUGCGGAAGAGAUAAGUGCUGAAAGCAUCUAAGCACGAAACUUGCCCCGAGAUGAGUUCUCCCUGAC
RNAcentral lists this ribosomal RNA (2791 nucleotides) under Escherichia coli. RNAcentral's name for it is "bacterial LSU rRNA". It matches the Rfam family "Bacterial large subunit ribosomal RNA". The record is from RNAcentral. Lineage: Bacteria; Pseudomonadati; Pseudomonadota; Gammaproteobacteria; Enterobacterales; Enterobacteriaceae.